RNAcentral lists this ribosomal RNA (506 nucleotides) under uncultured Glomeromycotina. RNAcentral describes it as "partial small subunit ribosomal RNA". It matches the Rfam family "Eukaryotic small subunit ribosomal RNA", at positions 591 to 1092 of the family's 1831-position model. Lineage: Eukaryota; Fungi; Glomeromycota. The record is from RNAcentral.
CCAAUAGCGUAUAUUAAAGUUGUUGCAGUUAAAAAGCUCGUAGUUGAAUUUCGGGAUUGACACAUCGGUCGUGCCUUAAGGGGUAUGAACUGGUGUAGUCAAUUUCUCACCUUCUGGAGAACCGCGAUGCCCUUAAUUGGGUGUCGCGGGGAACCAGGACCUUUACUUUGAAAAAAUUAGAGUGUUUAAAGCAGGCAUUUUGCUUGAAUACAUUAGCAUGGAAUAAUAAAAUAGGACGGCAUGAUUCUAUUUUGUUGGUUUCUAGGAUCACCGUAAUGAUUAAUAGGGAUAGUUGGGGGCAUUAGUAUUCAAUUGUCAGAGGUGAAAUUCUUGGAUUUAUUGAAGACUAACUACUGCGAAAGCAUGUGCCAAGGAUGUUUUCAUUAAUCAAGAACGAAAGUUAGGGGAUCGAAGACGAUCAGAUACCGUCGUAGUCUUAACCAUAAACUAUGCCGACUAGGAAUCAGACGAUGUUAAUUUUUUAAUGACUCGUUUGGCACCUUACG